ACUCAAAUGAAUUGACGGGGACCCGCACAAGCAGUGGAUCAUGUGGUUUAAUUCGAUGCUACGCGAAGAACCUUACCGAGGCUUGACAUCCUGAGAAGUCCUCCGAAAGGAGGAUGUGCCUUCGGGAGCUCAGUGACAGGUGCUGCAUGGCCGUCGUCAGCUCGUGUCGUGAGAUGUUGGGUUAAGUCCCGCAACGAGCGCAACCCUUGUUGUCUGUUGUAUUUUUCAGGCAAGACUGCCCGGGCCAACCGGGAGGAAGGUGGGGAUGACGUCAGGUCAGCAUGGCCCUUACGCCUCGGGCCACACACGUGAUACAAUGGCCGGCACAACGAGCCGCGAAGCCGCGAGGCGGAGCUAAUCUCAUCAAAACCGGUCUCAGUUCGGAUUGCAGGCUGAAACUCGCCUGCAUGAAGCUGGAAUUGCUAGUAAACGUGGGUCAGCAUACCACGUUGAAUACGUUCCCGGGUCUUGUACACACCGCCCGU
This 485-nucleotide ribosomal RNA is filed under the name uncultured bacterium. Its description in RNAcentral is "partial 16S ribosomal RNA". It matches the Rfam family "Bacterial small subunit ribosomal RNA", at positions 899 to 1397 of the family's 1533-position model. The record is from RNAcentral.